AGAGUUUGAUCCUGGCUCAGGACGAACGCUGGCGGUGUGCUUCACACAUGCAAGUCGAACGGAGUAGCAAUACUCAGUGGCGGACGGGUGAGUAACACGUGGGAAUCUACCAUUAGGUGGGGAAUAACAGGCCGAAAGGACUGCUAAUGCCGCAUAUGUAGGCAUCUCGACAGAGAUGUUUAUGAAAGGAGUAAUCCGCCUUUUGAUGAGCCCGCGUCCGAUUAGCUAGUUGGUAGGGUAAAAGCCUACCAAGGCGACGAUCGGUAGGUGGUCUGAGAGGAUGAUCACCCACAAUGGGACUGAGACACGGCCCAUACUCCUACGGGAGGCAGCAGUGGGGAAUUUUACGCAAUGGGGGAAACCCUGACGUAGCGACACCGCGUGAGCGAAGAAGCCCUUUGGGGUGUAAAGCUCUGUCAACAGGAACGAAACAAAUGACGGUACCUGUGGAGGAAGCAUCGGCUAACUACGUGCCAGCAGUCGCGGUAAGACGUAGGAUGCAAGCGUUGUCCGGAUUUAUUGGGCGUAAAGAGUUCGUAGGCGGUUUGUUAAGUCUGAUGUUAAAGGCCGGGGCUCAACCUCGGAAAUGCAUUGGAUACUGGUAGACUGGAGUGCAGUAGAGGCUAGUGGAAUUCCCAGUGUAGCGGUGAAAUGCGUAGA
RNAcentral lists this ribosomal RNA (660 nucleotides) under uncultured bacterium. Its description in RNAcentral is "bacterial SSU rRNA". It matches the Rfam family "Bacterial small subunit ribosomal RNA", at positions 8 to 694 of the family's 1533-position model. The record is from RNAcentral.